This 223-nucleotide long non-coding RNA is filed under the name Setaria viridis. Its description in RNAcentral is "long non-coding RNA (SVIR_LNC003028)". Lineage: Eukaryota; Viridiplantae; Streptophyta; Magnoliopsida; Poales; Poaceae. The record is from RNAcentral.
GAAUUGAUGGGGAAGGCCGACACAGGAAGCGACCCUCGGCGGUGCGCGGAUGUCGUGAGGUUAGGUUCACCAUGCAUGGUUAAAGAACUCGAAUCGAUUCGUCUGCCUCUCAUAGUUUGAGACUGCUUGAUCGCUAUGCUACACUGAGUAAGAAAAGAAUCUGAUGAUGACAUGGUCUUGAUGAUGUUAUAUACCCUUUUGUUGGAUCUAUGUUUGCUUAGAG